RNAcentral lists this transfer RNA (65 nucleotides) under Armadillidium vulgare (common pillbug). RNAcentral describes it as "tRNA-Thr". Lineage: Eukaryota; Metazoa; Arthropoda; Malacostraca; Isopoda; Armadillidiidae. The record is from RNAcentral.
UAUUUUUUGAUAACUUAGCUAGUACGUAAGGAUUUUUAAGUAUUAAUUUUUUUUUAAAAAAAAAU